Molecule: ribosomal RNA, 405 nt
Filed under: uncultured prokaryote
Description: bacterial SSU rRNA
Rfam family: Bacterial small subunit ribosomal RNA
Source: RNAcentral
UGGGGAAUCAUGGUCAAUGGGCGAAACCCUGACCCAGCAACGCCGCGUGAAGGAAGAAGGCUUUCGGGUUGUAAACUUCUUUGACGAGGGACGAAAUAAAUGACGGUACCUCGAAAACAAGCCACGGCUAACUACGUGCCAGCAGCCGCGGUAAUACGUAGGUGGCGAGCGUUGUCCGGAUUUACUGGGUGUAAAGGGCGUGUAAGCGGGACUGUAAGUCAGAUGUGGAAUUCCGGGGCUCAACCCCGGCGCUGCAUCUGAAACUAUAGUUCUUGAGUGCUGGAGAGGAAAGCGGAAUUCCUAGUGUAGCGGUGAAAUGCGUAGAUAUUAGGAGGAACACCAGUGGCGAAGGCGGCUUUCUGGACAGUAACUGACGCUGAGGCGCGAAAGCGUGGGGAGCAAACA